This is a long non-coding RNA of Psammomys obesus (fat sand rat), 938 nucleotides long. RefSeq lists it as uncharacterized. The record is from RefSeq and is a predicted model, not a curated record. The transcript has 3 exons. NCBI's taxonomy places the organism in Eukaryota, Metazoa, Chordata, Mammalia, Rodentia, Muridae.
GCCAGUGCUUCAAGAACGGCGCUACCGCCAUGGCGAUGCGCCUUUUCUCCCGGAAGAUCCUUGGUGCUGCCGGCUCGCUGCACCGUUUGGAACCAAAGGUUCCGGCAUCCGUCCAGUACCUUACAGACCCGAGCAGCUUUCCUUGGGACACCACAGCUUUUGCAAGAGGCUGGCUUUGGGGAGCCAUCCCGGUAAAACCCGGAAGCUGCUGCUCCUUGGUGGUUCUCAUCUCAUCCCAGCUGUCAAGACAGCUGGUUGAAUAAUACUUAAAUAAAAUGUUCUGAGGAUGGCUAUAUGCUGAGUCUUGCUGGUGAACCACUGAGCCAUGGACACAACACGACAGCCAGCUGACAGAAUGAGGGCUACAGAUUCUCCCACGCUCUCACUUCUCCAGUGCUGGGGAUUUUACAGAAAAUAUUAGAAAUGACCCACGAAGCCCAUGAAGGAGAAGCCUGCUAACACGCAGCUGAGGAAAUUCCUAUUUGUCAUAAACACGAACAACAAGAAGUUUCUAAGUUUUUAUGGAAUGGGAUGACUACGACAUUUCUUCUCCUCUGAAACACUGCUCAUUAACCUAGCCAAGGAUUCCCUCAUCCCUCAUGUGUUCACAGUGCCAAGACCCCAUAUGUCCACAACCUGGGUACUACAAAAGGUGCUAUGUAUGUAUCUGUUCCCUAAGCCCUCAAGCAACCCCAUAAAGUAAUAAUUACUCCAUUGUAUUGGUUCAUUCAUGAGUUCACAGGUUUAAGGAAUGUCAUACCAGUUAAGUUACAGAGGUAGUAUAUGAACCCUCAUUCUAAGGCCCAAGUGCACCUGCAAGUUUAAUGAGGCCUUGAUGGCAGUCAUCCACCCAGCAUAGGUUCUGAAAGCUGACAGUGUAAGUACUUACUAGGCUCUUUGAGACGUAGCUGUAUGGCAGGGCUAUCACUCUUGUCUCG